AAAAAAAAAAAAAAAUCUUUCCCCUGUGGCUGUCAGAGAUUCAUCAAAUAAACAAAACAAAUCCUAACACGCAACCCCUGAGCAGGGAACGUGGGAAGGCCCAUGGAGUGCUCCCAAAUAGUAUCUUAUUUUCCACUGGCUUGCCACAUGACCCUGGGACUGUGAGCUGUGCUCUUUGAGCACAGCGACUGUGCCUGAUGCUGUACCAGAGCUGUUGACGCGGCACCAAAGCCAGCUGUUUCAUGAGGUUGCUGGAGUGCCCUGGGGAGUUGAGUGCACAGAAGAAUGACUCCCAGGGGUGGUAGAAGAAUAUAGGGGGGCUGGGGAGAUCUGUAUCUGAUCCCUUGCUUCCCGCUGUGGUGAGUGGUGCAGGGUUUUCUGGUACAGUACCUCCAUCUCUCCCUAGGGACUUGAGUUCACACUCUGCUCUGGUGGACAAAAGAGAUUUCCACAGAGGAUGGGUCAGUGAAGCUGAGUACAUGGGUAACCCAUAGGUGACAUGCCAGCUCUAGCAAGAUAAGGAAGUCCCCACUGUUGACUAAGGUUUUCUGUCCUGCCCAGGCAUGCAGCUGUUAAGUCCCAAAGAAUCACACAGAGGUCUACAUUAAAUAUAAACUGAUUGGCCCAUUAUUUACUAAUUCUUAUUUCAGGCUUCUUAUUUACUAAUUCUUUUAACUUACAUUAGCCCAUAAUUCUUGGCUUAGUACCUUUUUGGUGAGCCAGUCACAUCUUGCUUCCUCUGAGGCUGGGUCAUGACUGUGGACUUAAACUUCCUUUUUUCCAGAUUUCUCAUUGCCCCACCUCUACUUCCUGCCUGGUUGCCCUACCUAUACUUCCUGCCUGGAUACUGACCAGUCAGUAUUUUAUUAAAAAUAAUACAAGUGACAGGAUAAAAGACCAUUGUCCCAUGGCACUCUCCCCCCUUUUUAAACAAGAACUCUGAAUUGAAUCUCCUUUGUUUAGCUUUUUGUUCAUACCAUUAUCCAUAACAUCUUCUAACCAACAUUCUAAACAAAGGCAAACAUCCAUAAUCCAUUUUUUUGGGGAAUGUGGGAGUAGUUUUCCAGGCUACUUUCUGCUGGUUGGGGACACUGAUAAUCUUACAGGGACCUAAAGAAAAUUUAGAAUUAUGAUCAAGUCCUGACUGGAGUUGUCCCGUGAGCCUUGAUCAUCUCAGGCAGCAUUUUGAAUCUGUUCUGGAUGUAGAACUCAGACAUCCAGGCCAUUCCUUCCUAUUGGAGAUUUCUCAGGUGGUCUUCCUUGAUCAAACAUGAUUUUUCUUAACCCAGAAUGAAUCCACAGCCUCUCAUUUCCUGUGGAAACAAAAGCAAAACCUCUUCUCCAAAGUAACAUAUCUUUUGAUUUCAAUUUUGAAGUUAAGGUAUUUUCAAAAUACCUAUCUUGGAUUAAUUCAGCAGCAUUUAUAAACAAAUAUCUUUCAGCAGCUGUUGCUCCUUUCUCAGCAAACAAUUCAAAGAGAACAUGAUAACAUAUAGUAUCCAGACUCUCUGUGUAUUUUUCAUCUUUAUGUGACUUUAUUUUAAACUCUAUCUCUUUUAUUUUUAUUUUUAAUUUUUUUUGAGACUUGGUUUCUCUGUGUAUCUUUAGCUGUCCUAUAAUUCACUCUGUAGACCAGGCUGUCCUUGAACUCACAGAGAUCUGCCUGCCUCUGCCUCCAAAGUGCUGGGAUUAAAGGUGUAUGCUACCAUGCCUUGAACUCACAGAGAUCUCUCUCUGCCUCUGCCUCCCAAAUGUUGGGAUUGAAGGUGUUUGCCACCACACCCAAAUAUUCUCUUUCUUAUUUUAAGGACUUUAUUCUUUUCCUUUGUCUUCCAAGCUUACACAUAUUUUUAAACACACCGUAAACCCUUUAGAGGUUUUCUUUGCCUUUGAUCUAUCUUUACUGUAUAUCUCUCUUUUUCUGACUAUACAAGUCUUUAAUUUGCUAUGCAAUAUGACUAGGAUUAAAGCUGUGGCUUUGAUGGCUGGAUCCAGUCCAUUCCUUAGCUUUUUGAGAUUCCAGCCUCAUGGUGGAGGUACUAGCCAAAGCCAUGUUUAUUGCCACAACUCUAAGGUGUUUUAAGGUCCCUGCCACUACCAAAAAGCAUGUGGUCAGCUUUACAUCAACACCAUUUAAGUGUUUUAUGGCAGGACCUCUUAAAAGAGCUGCAAGGUUUUGUAGCUGAGUCAGGAAGCCUCUCUUAAAUGAGAUGCAUUUGCCUCUAGCAAACAGAGCUCACCUGAGAAAACGCUGCUAUCUAUAAGCUGUGCUUAACUGUAUUCUUUUCUGUCUAGAAUUACUUCCCAAGCUCUCUCAGGCUUGUGUGUGUGGGUGCAGUUGUCCACGUGGGUGCCAUUCUGUUGACUGAGGUUUUCUGUCCCACCCAGUCCUACAGCUUUUCUUCAGCUAGAGGCCACUAUUUAACCAAUAUUGGCUUCUCAGUUAAUUAUUUUAAAGGCAGGGUUGUUAGUACCUCUGAAGACUUAUCAAUUGCUUUGUGUUCUUGUAUGGCCCGAAUGGCUGGUGACUGUCAUCUAUAAUAUCUUCUAAUAUUUUCCACAGAAACAUAAGUUUUUUGGGGGCUGCAGGAAUGUUAAUCUGGGUAUUCCAUUGCUGCAAUAGGUCACGACCCCACAAAUUCACUGCAAUGAUAUCUACAUAUGGCCUUAGUCUUCUUCUCUGUCCUUCUGGUCCUAGGCACUCAACCCAUCUCAUGCUCUGUUUUACCUGAGAUAGGGCUCCAAUCCUUAGGAACUGAACAUUUAUAUACACUCUUAGCUUCGGUCUUUGAUCAUUUAUAGAAGUCUGCCAGAAUAUACAUUUCCUAUGUCCUACUUGAGUUUUUGACCCAUUUUCCACAUUUAUUCCAUCAUCCAGACCAGUAUUAUUUUUUCACAGUAAGCACUGGAUUUUUAAAAAUUUUCCUGGUGAGACACAUUCUCCACAGUAACUGGGAAUGACUGGACCAUGUUCAUCAUGGGGGCCUGCAAGAGGCACCAAUGGCAUUUUCUGAUUGUCUAUCUUUCAUUGACCUACAUUCAUUGGUCCAAUGUUGACCUUUGCCAUACCUCCUACAUACACCUGAAGGCUGAGUCCUCCUAUUCCUGCCAUUCCCAGAGGAGACAUUAUUCCUAGGAAUCUCUUGUCUACAAUCCAUUCUCAGAUGUCCCAUUCUACCACAAUUAAAACAUUUGGUAUUUUGAUGUCUCCUCUUACCACUGGAAAUUGCUUCUCCUAUCCAAGCUUCAGUUCCAUAGUCAAGUGUCUCAACAUUCAUUGUAUGCAAUGAAUCAUCCAUGGGUGCUGAUCUGAUCUUUAAAGGCCCAAGGAUCCUUUUGCAUUCCCCCACAAAAUGCACUAUGAAUAUUUUUCGUUGUUUAGAAUGUUGGUUACAAAUUGUUACGGAUAAGAGCCAGGAGAAAAGCUAAACAAAGGAUAUUAGAUUCAGAGUUCUUGUUUUUUAAUUUUUGUUGUUUUUUUUUUAAAGGGGGAGAAGUGCUGUGGACAAUGGUUUUUUACCCUGUCAAUUGUAUUUUAAUAAAACAUUGAUUGGCCAGUAGCCAAUAAUGGAAGUAGAGGUGAGGCAAUGAGAAUUCUGGGAGAGAAAAGCUCAGUCUGCAGUCAUGACCCAGCCUCAGAGGAAGCAAGAUGUUAAUGCCUCGCUGAAAAAGGUAUCAAGCCACAUGGCUAACACAGACAAGAAUUAUGGGCUAAUAUAAGUUAUGAGUUAAUAAGAAGCCUGAGCUACUAGGCCAAUACAUUUAUAUUGUAUGUAGACCUCUGUGUGUGUUUAUUUGGGACUAAAUGGCCACAGGAACCGGGAAGGACAGAAACCUCUGUCAACAUACCACCGUUGAAAGUAUUCUUGCAAGAGUUGUGUGAAUAGCGGUAAGCACCAUGCUUACAGUUUGCCAGGUAGUUAGCUGUAAGCUGUGUAUUCUAUUUCCCUCUCUAUGGUGUCCUCUUCUGUAGGAAGCUUCUCAGUGGAGACAAGGCUCAGAGAUAGGAUGCAAGUGGCCUAAAGUCACAGAGCUAGAUUGUGACAAAGGCAAAGUUUAAACCUGGGGCUAGAAGGUUCCAUAGCAUCCUGACAUGGGUGCUAUGGUUCAGGUCUGGAAUGUCUCCUUAGGCAGUGUGUUAACGUCAGAGGAAACUUUAAGAGGUGGGCUCAAGGGUUUUAAGUCAUUAGUGACAUUUCAGAGAAGGGCAUGAUGGGAGCCUGUCUCUCCUGUUUAUUCUAUGUCUAGCCAUGAGGUGAAUAGCUUGGUUCUACCAUGGGGUGCCUGCCUCACCAGGGCCCAAGCAAUAUGAUCAAUUGAUUAUAGUCUGGAGUCUUUGAAGUCAGGAUUGAAAAUGAGCUUUUCUCUUGUAAAUCAUUACAUCAGGCAUUUUGUUGCAGUAAUGAAAUCUGGGUAUCACAGCAGAGAUCCAUGGCACAUGUAAUCAUGCUGGCCACAAAACAGAAUCAGAGCUAGAGGAAAACCCUUUGAGGACCCCAACUUAAAAGAUUUUUUUUGGCUCCUCACCUCAUAUGUAAUUUUAAAUCAGAACAAUGCUAAGCUCUAAAUUAAGUAGAAAGAACUUCAGUAAAGCUGCAACCUCCCCUCAACACCCCAGAGUACUGACACUGAUUUCCACCCAAAUACUGAAUUCUAUUAAAAACCUCUCCAUCCUUCCCAACCUCUCCACUCCACCUUACUUCCUCUCAUUUUAUCUAUUACUUAUUUAUAUUUAUGUGCAUGUGUGUGCCUCUCUCUGUGGGUGUGACCAUAUAUAUGCAGGUACUUACUGAAGCCGGAAGAGGGCUUUGGAUCCCUGGAGCCAGAGUUACAGGUGGUUGUGAGCCCCCUCCCAUGGAUGAUGGGAACUGCACUUGGGUCCUCUGCAAGGGCAGCAAGCACUCCUAGCUGGCAUGUGAUCAGUCUAGCCCAGUCCCCCUCUUGUUUGAGGACUUUCUGAAGCCCUCUUUCUGUUUAACCUCUGAUCAGGUUUAUUUUUAAUUUUAUGAGUGUCUGAGCACCAUGAGCAUGCCUGGCACCCACAGAGGUCAGAAGAGGGCACUGGACCACUGGAACUGGAGUUACAGGCAGUUGUGAGUUGCCAUGUUAGAGCUCUGAAACUUGGGCUUGCAGAUUUUUGGCAUUUGGCAAUUUGUUCCCUCUCCCUGGGUAUCCUCCUGGUGUCUUCCUAAUUGGCCAAAGAUAAUUUGGAAGGAGAACUGUGUGGCACCAUCAGACAGAACUACAGCAAUAAAAGUCCUGUUCCAAACCUACACAUCUGCAGACAGAGGGCCAAUCCUCCUUGACUAUGUGAGGGUAGAAGCUGCGACCUCAUCACCGUGGAGCCCUGUCACUUGGGCAUCAGUUUCACUUGGGCAUCAGUGUCUGACGUAGCACUCAGGAAAUGUUUGCUCAACUGAGGGAGAACUAGAAGACUGGCCACAUGGAAGAUUGUUGCCCCCUGCUAUGUGGUUGCUGGGAAUUGAACUCAGGACCUCUGGAAGAACAGCCAGUGAUCUUAACUGCUAAGCCAUUUCUCCAGCCCAAGUAUACAGUGUUAUAGUUGGAAUGUGAGGUGUCCUUCAUGAGCUUAUGUGUUGGAGCACUUGGUCCCCAGCUGAUGGCACUGUUUGGGAAAAUUAUGGAAUCAUAAGGAGAUGGAGCCUGACUGGAGGAAGUCGCUUUUGCUGGGGUACUUAACCACAGCAACAGAAAUGAAAUAUACGGAAGUUUGGAAUGCUUGCUGACCAUGCUCUGCCAGGAGGAUUUGGCCAUACACACGCCUUCUCUAGCUCUCAGACUGUCUACAGCCAUUCCUUGGGCAGAAGCUCCCAAGCCUCUUAGCACCGAUCCCCUUUCAUUUGGAUCCCAAUUUGCAGAAGACUUUGUUUUCAAAAUGACAGCACCUUUUAAACAGCCUGUCCACCCUCACUGUUGACGUUUUUUGAAUCUGAGGAUGAGAAAGACCCAUGCAUCGUCUGGAGACCCCACACAUCAGUGGAGAGGAACCCAAAGCCUGUUUGUUGCCUCACAGUCUUCAAGGGCAGAUUCCCUCAG
Alexandromys fortis (reed vole) is the source of this 6057-nucleotide long non-coding RNA. RefSeq lists it as uncharacterized. The transcript has 8 exons. Lineage: Eukaryota; Metazoa; Chordata; Mammalia; Rodentia; Cricetidae. The record is from RefSeq and is a predicted model, not a curated record.